Molecule: long non-coding RNA, 1166 nt
Organism: Anguilla anguilla (European eel)
Lineage: Eukaryota; Metazoa; Chordata; Actinopteri; Anguilliformes; Anguillidae
Exons: 3
Source: RefSeq, a predicted model, not a curated record
ACCGCGCUGCUGGCUACUCUCUGUGGCUAUCUGAAAAUAGCCACGGGUAGCAAUGUGUAUUAUCAAUCUCUAUUAGAACCGGAGUACAUUUCAGUCAUCCGGCCAUUUUUGUAAGCAAUUUCAAGUGAAGAUAUUACUGCGUGAUGUCGUGGCAUGCCCAUUUGUUUUUUUGGAUGAGCAGCAGAGCAUGGAACAAAGCCACCUCGCAUCACCCAGCAUGCACUCCUCUGCUAGGCUGUCACCGUGGGGCACUUUUCUUCACCGGUUCCACCGACAGGAAACGCGGGGGCCGGGGCCGAGAGAGAGGCACGCAGACUUUCUCUCCCAAUUAACACCCGAAAAGGCGGGAAGGCGAGAUCGCCGAUGCUUGCGCGAGGGCCGCCCGCCACCUUCCACGAGCCCCGAGAAGCGGCAGACGCGGAGAAAUACACGACCCAACGCACGCACCUCAAAAACAACCACCGUGACUUUGGAAGCACAUUCUAUUCCUCAGGGCUUGGAAUGCAGCGAGUCUUUUGACAAUAAUGAAAGAAUGAAAGACAGCCCAGCAACAGAAGCUGAAGAGUAUAGGUCUCCUUACACCUUUAUUACAGGUAUAGAAACCUUGCUCAAGCUGACGCCCGUAUGUCCGUGGAACAUCCGUAUACUCUCGCACGAGCCGGGAUUCAGGCCUGAGAGACAAAAGGCCGUGGAGAGGGGGCGUCGGAGGAGGCGACGGCUUCAAAAGAAACAGGUACCUCCUUCGGCUCCCUCCGGGCCAGGCCGCCCAUCCACACCCAGCCCGGGACGGAACAUAAUCUUACCUAAAAUAGACGGGUUAAAAAUAGCCUAGCCCGGGAGCCAAAGGGGCAGCCCCUCUGCUCCCCUUGGGCGAAUGAGGACCCUCUCGAUCGGGAUGGCCCUCAGGAGACCCUGCCCUGCUGGGAGAGGCUCCUUGGCUUCUGACGAGGCCUAAAGAUUUUGCUAUUCUUGUGGAGACCUCCAAGUUGAGGACAGAACUGACCACAUGUGAAUCCUCUAAGAUCUACCCAGGCUGCUCGAAUCUACUGCGAUUUCCCGAGUCUUCUACUGAAUGCAUCUGACCUGACCGUUUGUUGUGUCUGGGCUGGAUAAACAAACCACUAUCUGUCACCUCUUGCCUUGUGUGUUUUGUGGGGUUGGGAAUG